RNAcentral lists this transfer RNA (85 nucleotides) under Felis catus (domestic cat). It matches the Rfam family "tRNA". Rfam says of the family: Transfer RNA (tRNA) molecules are approximately 80 nucleotides in length. Their secondary structure includes four short double-helical elements and three loops (D, anti-codon, and T loops). Lineage: Eukaryota; Metazoa; Chordata; Mammalia; Carnivora; Felidae. The record is from Rfam by way of RNAcentral.
GCCUGGGUGGCUGAGUCAGUUAAGCAUUUGACUUCAACUCAGGUCAUGAUCUCAUGGCUUGUGAGUUCGAGUCCCGCGUCGGGCU